AGUGAACGCUGGCGGUAGGCCUAACACAUGCAAGUCGAACGGCAGCACAGUAAGAGCUUGCUCUUACGGGUGGCGAGUGGCGGACGGGUGAGGAAUACAUCGGAAUCUACUUUUUCGUGGGGGAUAACGUAGGGAAACUUACGCUAAUACCGCAUACGACCUACGGGUGAAAGCAGGGGAUCUUCGGACCUUGCGCGAUUGAAUGAGCCGAUGUCGGAUUAGCUAGUUGGCGGGGUAAAGGCCCACCAAGGCGACGAUCCGUAGCUGGUCGGAGAGGAUGACCGGCCCCACUGGAACGGAGACACGGUCCAGACUCCUACGGGAGGCAGCAGUGGGGAAUAUUGGACAAUGGGCGGAAGCCUGAUCCAGCCAUACCGCGUGGGUGAAGAAGGCCUUCGGGUUGUAAAGCCCUUUUGUUGGGAAAGAAAAGCAGCAGGUUAAUACCCCGCUGUUCUGACGGUACCCAAAGAAUAAGCACCGGCUAACUUCGUG
This 492-nucleotide ribosomal RNA is filed under the name uncultured bacterium. RNAcentral describes it as "partial 16S ribosomal RNA". It matches the Rfam family "Bacterial small subunit ribosomal RNA", at positions 29 to 507 of the family's 1533-position model. The record is from RNAcentral.